CCUGAUCCAGCAAUGCCGCGUGUGUGAAGAAGGCCUUCGGGUUGUAAAGCACUUUUGUCCGGAAAGAAAUCCUUGGCUCUAAUACAGUCGGGGGAUGACGGUACCGGAAGAAUAAGCACCGGCUAACUACGUGCCAGCAGCCGCGGUAAUACGUAGGGUGCGAGCGUUAAUCGGAAUUACUGGGCGUAAAGCGUGCGCAGGCGGUUUGCUAAGACCGAUGUGAAAUCCCCGGGCUCAACCUGGGAACUGCAUUGGUGACUGGCAGGCUAGAGUAUGGCAGAGGGGGGUAGAAUUCCACGUGUAGCAGUGAAAUGCGUAGAGAUGUGGAGGAAUACCGAUGGCGAAGGCAGCCCCCUGGGCCAAUACUGACGCUCAUGCACGAAAGCGUGGGGAGCAAACAGGAUUAGAUACCCUGGUAGUCCACGCCCUAAACGAUGUCAACUAGUUGUUGGGGAUUCAUUUCCUUAGUAACGUAGCUAACGCGUGAAGUUGACCGCCUGGGGAGUACGGUCGCAAGAUUAAAACUCAAAGGAAUUGACGGGGACCCGCACAAGCGGUGGAUGAUGUGGAUUAAUUCGAUGCAACGCGAAAAACCUUACCUACCCUUGACAUGGUCGGAAUCCUGCUGAG
RNAcentral lists this ribosomal RNA (630 nucleotides) under Burkholderia sp. IBa263. RNAcentral describes it as "bacterial SSU rRNA". It matches the Rfam family "Bacterial small subunit ribosomal RNA", at positions 382 to 1005 of the family's 1533-position model. Lineage: Bacteria; Pseudomonadati; Pseudomonadota; Betaproteobacteria; Burkholderiales; Burkholderiaceae. RNAcentral also lists the same sequence under 5 other names. The record is from RNAcentral.